RNAcentral lists this non-coding RNA (26 nucleotides) under Homo sapiens (human). The record is from RNAcentral. Lineage: Eukaryota; Metazoa; Chordata; Mammalia; Primates; Hominidae.
UGAAUCCAUGUCCAUUGCUGUGUAAC